AGAGUUUGAUCCUGGGCUCAGGAUGAACGCUAGCGGCAGGCCUAAUACAUGCAAGUCGUACGGUAAGACGACCCUUCGGGGUGUUGAGAGUGGCGGACGGGUGCGUAACGCGUAUGCAACAACCCCCGACGGGCGGACAGCCCGGUGGAAAACGCCCGGGAUAAUACGCCAUGCGGCUGAGCGAGGGCAUCCUCGCUUAGUCAAAGCUUUGGCGGUCGGGGACGGGCAUGCGUGCCAUUAGAUGGUCGGCGGGGUGACGGCCCACCGAGUCGACGAUGGCUAGGGGAUCUGAGAGGACGGUCCCCCACACUGGUACUGAGACACGGACCAGACUCCUGCGGGAGGCAGCAGUAAGGGAUAUUGGGCAAUGGGGGAACCCUGACCCAGCCAUGCCGCGUGAGGGAAUGAGGCCCUACGGGUCGUGAACCUCUUUUAUUCGGGGACAAGGACUCGGUCGCGAACCGAGUUUGAGGGUACCGAAGGAAUAAGCGUCGGCUAACUCCGUGCC
Molecule: ribosomal RNA, 508 nt
Filed under: uncultured bacterium
Lineage: Bacteria
Description: bacterial SSU rRNA
Rfam family: Bacterial small subunit ribosomal RNA
Source: RNAcentral